GUACCCUCAAGCUCUGCUUGGUGUUGGGUGUUUGUCCUAUCCUUGCGAUUGGACUCGCCUUAAAGUUAUUGGCAGCCGGCAUAUUGGCCUUGGAGCGCAGCACAUUUUGCGAUUCAAGCCUGUAGACUGGCGUCCAUCAAGCCUUUUUAUCAC
RNAcentral lists this unclassified non-coding RNA (153 nucleotides) under Piniphoma wesendahlina. RNAcentral describes it as "partial internal transcribed spacer 2". The record is from RNAcentral. Lineage: Eukaryota; Fungi; Ascomycota; Dothideomycetes; Pleosporales; Phaeosphaeriaceae.